This 494-nucleotide ribosomal RNA is filed under the name uncultured bacterium. RNAcentral's name for it is "partial 16S ribosomal RNA". It matches the Rfam family "Bacterial small subunit ribosomal RNA", at positions 28 to 507 of the family's 1533-position model. The record is from RNAcentral.
GACGAACGCUGGCGGCGUGCUUAACACAUGCAAGUCGAACGGUGAAGCGCCUUCCUUUUUGGUGGGUGUGGAUGAGUGGCGAACGGGUGAGUAACACGUGAGUAACCUGCCCCCUUCUUCUGGAUAACCGCAUGAAAGUGUGGCUAAUACGGGAUAUUCUGGGUCUGUCGCAUGAUGGGUCUGGGAAAGAUAUUGUUUCGGUGGGGGAUGGGCUCGCGGCCUAUCAGCUUGUUGGUGGGGUGAUGGCCUACCAAGGCGGUGACGGGUAGCCGGCCUGAGAGGGUGGGCGGUCACACUGGGACUGAGACACGGCCCAGACUCCUACGGGAGGCAGCAGGGGGGAAUAUUGCACGAUGGGAGCAAGCCUGAUGCAGCGACGCCGCGUGAGGGAUGGAGGCCUUCGGGUUGUGAACCUCUUUCGCCAGUGAAGCAGGCCUGCCUCGUUUGUGGGUGGGUUGACGGUAGCUGGAGAAGAAGCGCCGGCUAACUACGUG